CAAUAGCGUAUAUUUAAGUUGUUGCAGUUAAAAAGCUCGUAGUUGGAUUUCGGAUGGGAUUUGCCGGUCCGUCGUUACGAUGUGCACUGGCCAGUCCUAUCUUGUUGUCGGGGACUAGCUCCUUGGAUUCACUUCCUGGGACUAGGAGCUGACGAGGUUACUUUGAGUAAAUUAGAGUGUUCAAAGCAAGCCUACGCUCUGAAUACAUUAGCAUGGAAUAACACGAUAGGACUCUGGCUUAUCUUGUUGGUCUGUGAGACCAGAGUAAUGAUUAAGAGGGACAGUCGGGGACAUUCGUAUUUCAUUGUUAGAGGUGAAAUUCUUGGAUUUAUGAAAGACGAACUUCUGCGAAAGCAUUUGUCAAGGAUGUUUUCAUUAA
This 379-nucleotide ribosomal RNA is filed under the name uncultured eukaryote. RNAcentral describes it as "partial 18S ribosomal RNA". It matches the Rfam family "Eukaryotic small subunit ribosomal RNA", at positions 592 to 976 of the family's 1831-position model. The record is from RNAcentral.